UACGUAGGGGGCAAGCGUUGUCCGGAAUCAUUGGGCGUAAAGCGCGUGUAGGCGGUUCGGUAAGUCUGCUGUGAAAGUCCAGGGCUCAACCCUGGGAUGCCGGUGGUUACUGUCGAACUAGAGUACGGAAGAGGCGAGUGGAAUUCCCGGUGUAGCGGUGAAAUGCGCAGAUAUCGGGAGGAACACCAAUUGCGAAGGCAGCUCGCUGGGACGUCACUGACGCUGAGACGCGAAAGCGUGGGGAGCAAACAGG
RNAcentral lists this ribosomal RNA (253 nucleotides) under uncultured bacterium. RNAcentral describes it as "partial 16S ribosomal RNA". It matches the Rfam family "Bacterial small subunit ribosomal RNA", at positions 524 to 776 of the family's 1533-position model. The record is from RNAcentral.